AACGAACGCUGGCGGCAUGCUUAACACAUGCAAGUCGAACGAGACCGUCGGGCUUAGUGGCGCACCGGUGCGUACCGAGUGGGAAGCUGCCCUUAGGUACGCAAUAACUCACCGUAAGGUGUGUUCAUACAAGUUAGUCUCAUAGGACCAAGGAUUUAUGGCCUUUGGGUGGGGCCGCGUUGGUUUAGCUAGUUGGUAGGGUAAAAGCAUACCAAGGCGACGAUGCAUAGCUGGUCGGAGAGGAUGAUCAGCCACACUGGGACUGCGACACGGCCCAGACUCCUACGGGAGGGAGCAGUAGAGAAUACUGUACAAGGAGCGAAAGUCUGACCCAGCAGUGCCGCGUGAGUGAUGAAUGCCUUAGGAUUGUAAAUCUCUUUUUCCCGGGAUGAUAAUGACAGUACCGGGAGAAUAAGCUCCGGCUAACUCCGUG
Molecule: ribosomal RNA, 433 nt
Filed under: uncultured bacterium
Lineage: Bacteria
Description: partial 16S ribosomal RNA
Rfam family: Bacterial small subunit ribosomal RNA
Source: RNAcentral